GACGAACGCUGGCGGCGUGCUUAACACAUGCAAGUCGAACGGAAAGGCCCUGCUUUUGUGGGGUGCUCGAGUGGCGAACGGGUGAGUAACACGUGAGUAACCUGCCCUUGACUUUGGGAUAACUUCAGGAAACUGGGGCUAAUACCGGAUAGGAGCUCCUGCUGCAUGGUGGGGGUUGGAAAGUUUCGGCGGUUGGGGAUGGACUCGCGGCUUAUCAGCUUGUUGGUGGGGUAGUGGCUUACCAAGGCUUUGACGGGUAGCCGGCCUGAGAGGGUGACCGGCCACAUUGGGACUGAGAUACGGCCCAGACGCAUACGGGAGGCAGCAGUGGGGAAUAGUGCACAAUGGGCGGAAGCCUGAUGCAGCAACGCCGCGUGCGGGAUGACGGCCUUCGGGUUGUAAACCGCUUUCGCCUGUGACGAAGCGUGAGUGACGGUAAUGGGUAAAGAAGCACCGGCUAACUACGU
RNAcentral lists this ribosomal RNA (467 nucleotides) under uncultured bacterium. RNAcentral's name for it is "partial 16S ribosomal RNA". It matches the Rfam family "Bacterial small subunit ribosomal RNA", at positions 28 to 506 of the family's 1533-position model. The record is from RNAcentral.